Molecule: ribosomal RNA, 395 nt
Filed under: uncultured bacterium
Lineage: Bacteria
Description: bacterial SSU rRNA
Rfam family: Bacterial small subunit ribosomal RNA
Source: RNAcentral
AAUCAACGCUGGCGGCGUGCCUAACACAUGCAAGUCGAACGCGAAACCCCCGCAAGGGGUUAGUAGAGUGGCGAACGGGUGAGUAACACGUGGGUGACCUACCUUCGAAUGGGGGAUAACGUCCCGAAAGGGACGCUAAUACCGCAUAACAUCCUGCCUUUGAACAGGUGGAGAUCAAAGCCGGGGAUCGCAAGACCUGGCGUUUGAAGAGGGGCCCGCGUCUGAUUAGCUAGUUGGUGAGGAACGGCCCACCAAGGCGACGAUCAGUAUCCGGCCUGAGAGGGCGGACGGACACACCGGGACUGAGACACGGCCCAGACUCCUACGGGAGGCAGCAGGUGGGGAAUUGUUCGCAAUGGGCGCAAGCCUGACGACGCAACGCCGCGUGGAGGAUG